UACGGAGGAUUCAAGCGUUAUCCGGAUUUACUGGGUGUAAAGGGAGCGUAGGCGGCGCGUUAAGUCUGAUGUGAAAACCCGAGGCUCAACCACGGGAGUGCAUUGGAAACUGUGCAGCUGGAGUGCAGGAGAGGUAAGCGGAAUUCCUAGUGUAGCGGUGAAAUGCGUAGAUAUUAGGAGGAACACCAGUGGCGAAGGCGGCUUACUGGACUGUAACUGACGUUGAGGCUCGAAAGCGUGGGGAGCAAACAGG
Molecule: ribosomal RNA, 253 nt
Filed under: uncultured Lachnospiraceae bacterium
Lineage: Bacteria; Bacillati; Bacillota; Clostridia; Lachnospirales; Lachnospiraceae
Description: partial 16S ribosomal RNA
Rfam family: Bacterial small subunit ribosomal RNA
Source: RNAcentral